UGUGUGUGUGUGUGUUAGCGUACACGUGCCUUAAUAUUUUGUUUGUUUGUUUGUUGUCUCUGUAAUUUCUUCUUCAAAACAAACAAAUUCUCAGUAACAACAACAAUAACAACAAGAACAAGAAGUGGAGCGGAGCAAAACAAAGUCAACAUUUCGAGACGAGUGUUGUGUCACGUUACUCUCUCGUUGGUCACUGUUGUUGUUGUUGUUGUUGUUGUUGUUGUCGAUGGUGUUGUUGGUGGUGGUGUUGUAAGCUCACCACCAGCCAUGCAAUUCCUUUAAGUAAAUAAGUAAUUAAAGAUUUAAGUAGUGCCAAAACUAUUACACUCAUAUUAUCUAGAAGUGAAGCUUAAGUGCCAUAUUACUAUUACUAUUACUACUGUUACUACUACUGUUACUAUUACUACUAUAACUACUACUACUACUACUACUAUUGUUACUAUUACUAUUAGUAUUGUCAUUAUUAGUAUUAUUGUUAAAAGUUUACACCAUUUUCGUUUCCAUUAAUCAAAAUUCACUUAAAUUACUUAUAAACUACUUCUAUACUUAUAAUCUACUACUAAUCAUUCACUUUUCCAACAGGUAUACAAAACACAUACUCUCAUUUGACUUACUAAAAAAUUGUUAUGUUUUACUACUUAAUUUAAACUCAAUACUCACUUAAACUACUUAUAUACUACUUCUAUACUACUUCUAUACUUAUAAUCUACGACUAAUUAUUCACUUUUCCAACAGGUAUACAAAACACAUACUCUCAUUUGACUUACUAAAAAAAAUUGUUGUUUUACUACUUAAUUUAAACUGAAAACUCACUUAAACUACUUAUUUACUACUAAUUUUGUACUUUUCUAACAGGUAUACAAAAACAACUACCUUUAUUUCACUACUUACUAAAAAAAAAUCAUUAUAUUAUACUACUUAAUCUAAACUCAAAAUUCACUUAAAUUACUUAUACACUAUUUCUAUAC
Molecule: long non-coding RNA, 968 nt
Organism: Portunus trituberculatus (swimming crab)
Lineage: Eukaryota; Metazoa; Arthropoda; Malacostraca; Decapoda; Portunidae
Exons: 2
Source: RefSeq, a predicted model, not a curated record